Molecule: ribosomal RNA, 491 nt
Filed under: uncultured bacterium
Lineage: Bacteria
Description: partial 16S ribosomal RNA
Rfam family: Bacterial small subunit ribosomal RNA
Source: RNAcentral
AGUGAACGCUGGCGGUAGGCCUAACACAUGCAAGUCGAACGGCAGCACAGUAAGAGCUUGCUCUUACGGGUGGCGAGUGGCGGACGGGUGAGGAAUACAUCGGAAUCUACUUUUUCGUGGGGGAUAACGUAGGGAAACUUACGCUAAUACCGCAUACGACCUACGGGUGAAAGUAGGGGAUCUUCGGACCUUGCGCGAUUGAAUGAGCCGAUGUCGGAUUAGCUAGUUGGCGGGGUAAAGGCCCACCAAGGCGACGAUCCGUAGCUGGUCUGAGAGGAUGAUCAGCCACACUGGAACUGAGACACGGUCCAGACUCCUACGGGAGGCAGCAGUGGGGAAUAUUGGACAAUGGGCGCAAGCCUGAUCCAGCCAUACCGCGUGGGUGAAGAAGGCCUUCGGGUUGUAAAGCCCUUUUGUUGGGAAAGAGAAGCAGCAGGUUAAUACCCCGCUGUUCUGACGGUACCCAAAGAAUAAGCACCGGCUAACUUCGU